CCCGAAACCAGGUGAUCUACCCAUGUCCAGGAUGAAGGUAAGGUAAUACUUACUGGAGGUCCGAACCCACGCACGUUGAAAAGUGCGGGGAUGAGGUGUGGGUAGCGGAGAAAUUCCAAUCGAACUUGGAGAUAGCUGGUUCUCUCCGAAAUAGCUUUAGGGCUAGCCUCGAGGUAAAGAGUCAUGGAGGUAGAGCACUGUUUGGACUAGGGGCCCUUCUCGGGUUACCGAAUUCAGAUAAACUCCGAAUGCCAUGUACUUAUACUCGGGAGUCAGACUGCGAGUGAUAAGAUCCGUAGUCGAAAGGGAAACAGCCCAGACCACCAGUUAAGGUCCCCAAAUAUAUGUUAAGUGGAAAAGGAUGUGGGGUUGCUUAGACAACCAGGAUGUUGGCUUAGAAGCAGCCACCAUUGAAAGAGUGCGUAAUAGCUCACUGGUCGAGUGACCCCGCGCCGAAAAUGUACCGGGGCUAAACAUAUUACCGAAACUGUGGAUGAACCUCUUUAGAGGUUCGUGGUAGGAGAGCGUUCUAAGGGCGGUGAAGUCAGACCGGAAGGACUGGUGGAGCGCUUAGAAGUGAGAAUGCCGGUAUGAGUAGCGAAAGAAGGGUGAGAAUCCCUUCCACCGAAUAUCUAAGGUUUCCUGAGGAAGGCUCGUCCGCUCAGGGUUAGUCGGGACCUAAGCCGAGGCCGAUAGGCGUAGGCGAUGGACAACAGGUAGAGAUUCCUGUACCAGUGCUAAUUGUUUAACCGAUGGGGUGACACAGAAGGAUAGGGAAUCGCACGAAUGGAAAUGUGCGUCCAAGCAGUGAGUGUGAG
This 818-nucleotide ribosomal RNA is filed under the name Listeria monocytogenes. RNAcentral describes it as "partial 23S ribosomal RNA". It matches the Rfam family "Bacterial large subunit ribosomal RNA", at positions 714 to 1529 of the family's 2925-position model. The record is from RNAcentral. Lineage: Bacteria; Bacillati; Bacillota; Bacilli; Caryophanales; Listeriaceae.